Molecule: small RNA, 5612 nt
Filed under: Pongo abelii (Sumatran orangutan)
Lineage: Eukaryota; Metazoa; Chordata; Mammalia; Primates; Hominidae
Description: retained intron
Source: RNAcentral
AUGCCAAUCUCUAAUCCUUUCAGUAAUGGGAUCCAGCCAGAGGUAAAGAUUCCUAGAAAAAUUGUCUAUGUCUAGACCAAGCCCAUUCAACCCACAGCCUACAGGCCAGGAUGGCUUUGAAUGUGACCCAACACAAAUUCAUAAACCUUCUUAAAACAUGAGAUUUUGUUUCUGUGAUUUUUUUUUAACUCAUCAGCUAUCAUUAGUGUUAAUGUAUUUUAUGUGUGACCCAAGACAAUUCUUCCAACGUGGCCCAGGGAAGCGACAAGAGUGGACACCCCUGCUCUAGACCAUCACCAGUCCUUCCUAGCCAGUGUCCUGUCUGCAGAGUAAAGGUUUGUAGGCUUCUCAUCAAGCGUCAAAGAAACUAGUUUUCUUUAAAUUUCCAUGAAAUAAAAUAAAUGUCUUGGGUUUUAAAAAUUGUACAAUUGGGAACAUCUUUGAAUGUUUUUUUUUAAGAGACAGCAUCUCAUUCUUGUCACCCAGACUGGAGUGCACUGGUGUAAUCAUUGCCCACUGGAGCCUCAAGCUCCUGGGCUCAAACAAUCCUCCUGCCUCUGCCUCCCACGUAACUGAGACUACAGGUGUGCACCAGCCUGCCCAGCUGAUUUUUAAAACAUUUUUUAGAGAUGGGGUCUUGCUGUGUUACACAGGCUGUUCUUGAACUCCUGGCCUCAAGUGAUCCUCCUGCCUUUGCCUCCCAAAGCACUGGGAUUACAGGCUUGAGCUACUGUGCCUGGCCGGGAUUUUUUUUUUUUUUUUUUUUUUUUUUAACUGUGUGUGUGUCAGGUUGUCUUGAACACCAUGGCGACUCCCUCAGACUUUUUCGUCUUAUUUCUUGGUAAAAAGGAGCUUUCUAGCUCUGAGACUAGGCAAUUAGGGUGGUUCUCUGAGUCAUUCUCUGUACACAGAGUGUCAGUCAGGUGCCAUAUGUAGAGAGUUGUUGAAUAAUUCAGCCGGGUAAUGUCCAAGACGUCAGUACUUUGCUCCUUUCUUCCCGUUUUGUGAGACGGUCCCGGUGGACUAUAUAACCACUAUCCAACUUCGCUUCCAGGUUUUAUUUGCACCAAAGUAUGGAGCACUUUCCCCCCUUGCCUGCAUUCUGAUGAAUUUGUUUUCAUUUUGUUUUAGAGAGCUUUGCUUCCCAAAUUUCUCCUUCGAGGACAUCUCAACUCAACAAACUGUGUCAUCACACAGCCGCUAACGGGAGAGCUGGUGGUGGAGAGCUCGGAAGCCGCCAUCAGAAGCGUGGAGCUGCAGCUGGUGCGCGUGGAGACGUGCGGGUGUGCAGAAGGCUAUGCCCGCGACGCCACGGAGAUUCAGAACAUUCAGAUCGCCGACGGGGAUGUGUGCAGGGGCCUCUCUGUCCCCAUCUACAUGGUCUUCCCUAGGCUGUUCACUUGCCCUACACUGGAGACCACCAACUUCAAAGUGGGUAAGUGGCACUCGCCUUCAGCCCUCAUGGGCCCAUGGGAAGGGCCGCUCAGUGCCAGGGCCUGCUGUGGGUCACAUAGCUCAGAACCUGCCACCUUCCGGUCCCUCAGUGCCAGGGCCUGCCACACGCCAUACAGCUCAGAGCCUGCUGCUCUUCGGCUGCUCAACAAAGCCUUGUUAAGGAGCUGCUGCGCCGCACAGGGGACACACCCACAGACAGUCCUGGUGCUUGUGGGACUUCCACUGUCACAUGGGGAGACACACAGACCCACAUCAGUGUAGACAUGGGCAGGUGACACUGAGCUCUGUGUAGACAUAGGCAGGUGACGCUGAGCUCCGUGAAGAAAACUCACGUGAGUGAGCACCACCUGAGCAGGGGGUGGUGUGGAUACUGAGAAAGUGGCUCUGUGUGAAGGUCCAGGACCCAUGAAAACCCCAGAGUGAGUGCUCAGCAGCAGGAAGGCCUUGAGCCCCGCGGCCUAGAUGCCUCUAGUGAGUUUCCAUGAACCUGUGUGUUCAUAUUUUAACCAUGGGAUCUGAAUCAGGUCACAGACACCCUUUUAUAUUCUGCCGUCUUCCCUUAACAUUGUAUCAUGAACAUUUCCAUGUUUUUAACUCUUCCUAUAAAUAUUGUAAUGGUACCUCCAUCUUAAUAAGAAUCAUGUUAAUUGGGAGAUCACUCCACACAACGAAGAAGUAGAACAGAGAGACCCAGUAGGAAGGGACCGAACCUUCUCAGUAGCAGGGGACAGUGAUUCAGAGAAGCUUGGGACCUCUAGGUUGGAAGUCAGGAGUGAGCACUGCAUCCGCAUCAAGAGCAGCACCUCUGUGUUCCCCUCCAACUGUGUGCAAGGGACCUCAAAUGCACGGUCAGGCCCGAGACUGGAACUCACUCGGACUGUAAGCAGUGCCUGGGUAUCAUGGCAGCUCCAAUGCAGCUGUUUUCCUGCUGUAAAGGAAAGCCCCCGCCAGCUCCCUAUCAUGCCUGCUGGGCAUCCCUCUCUGUCCACUCCAGCCACACCCUCCACCCUUCUGGGGGGCACAACAAGAGGGGUGGAGAACCCAUUGAAGGACGUGGUGGCAGGAAGUGCCCAGAGCGCUCUAAUGUAGUGACAAUAAAGUGAGGAAGGACAGGCCGGGCACUGCUGGUGGCCGACUCUUCUCGUGGCUGAUGUUUGGGCAGAGGUGGACACUCCCACACGGGGAUGUUGUCCUGCAGACCCCAGCCACAGGUGGGCACUGACUCCAAGGCCCCUUCCACAGGUGAGCUGCUGCAGUGUGGGGCUCGGCACAGUGUGCCCUCUGCCCAUACGGUGCCCUUCCCACCCCUCGUCACACUGGGGAAGGACAUGGUGCUUAUUCGUCGUCAGGUACUUCUCCUCUUCACACACACCCCUUUUGUUAUGAUCAACAAGGCCCACCCAUAGCAGCUGAAGAGUAGGUGGAGAAGGAAUCCUGUUUGCUGAAAGGUGAUGGAUGAAUAAUAUCCAAUGGAGCAACAAUGAAAUUGUUGCUUCUGAAGACUGUUUCUCACCUGGGGAUUGGGGACAUGGGCCCAGACAGCUAUGGGCUGGUUCACGGUCUGCUAGUUCAUUAAGAACCGUAGGAAAUGUAAAAAUAAGGCAAAGGAAUACAAAUGAAUUGAAAGGGUUCUAGAAUAUCCUUUUUAGGAAAGCAAAGGGACAGGGAAAGUGUAGUUGGUGAAGCCUGAUCACUCAUGUUCCAAGAUGAGAGGACAAAAAUUCACUUAGAGAAAGUUGACAGAGGUAGUCAGACAUCAGCAUAGUCAUCUCCACCGGUUUGGCUGAAAGGUCGGGGUGGCGCUGAGGGGACAGCAAUGAAACCCACCCGCAUCGGGUGCUCCUUCGCCAUUAGAGCUUACUGCAACUGCAGUGGUGGUGGCGUGUGGUUUCGCUGCUCGGUAACAGUGAGCAUAAAUCCACCCUCUCUUCUCUUCUCAGAAUUUGAGGUGAACAUCGUGGUGCUUCUUCACCCCGACCACCUCAUCACGGAGAACUUCCCACUGAAGCUCUGCAGGAUAUAGCCCAGAGGAGGGAAGCACAGAAAACGGGAGUGGCCAUCUGGAAAUCCAGCUGGUUAUCCAAAUCCUAAGGGGAGCUACAGCCAGCGGCAUAUGCUUGUUUUUGUGAUUAUUCUGUAUCAGAAAUGAAACAGACCCUCAAAUUAAAUUCCCUUCCUCAUUUCUUGAGGCUUCUGCUUCCAACAGGCACCUCUAAUGAGAACUUUUCUUUGAAAUUCAACAAGAUUUCUUAAUGCUAUUUGCCAAGACCAUUUCACAGAAAACAUUGACUGUAGCUCUUGCCUUAUCUGUUCCUUUUUAGGUACAGUAAAACAAUUGUGACAGCAGUUUGAGCUUGCUGGAGAGUGGCAUCAUGGGGACAAAAGGAAACCUCUCUGACUUGCUAAUGGAUGUAGCUGGGGACUCCCCAUAGCAAAGGGUCUGUGGCCAGUUGACAUCCAGGAUGGCUGCAAGCACACUCGAUGGUCAGGAUGUUUGCAGAUACUCGCCAAGGCAGAGCGCAAAGUGCUAGCCACUGGAAAUGCCUGACUUCCCUCCACCCCUACUCUGUUCUGUAGUUUUUUGGUUUUGUUUUUGCGACGGAGUCUCACUCUGUCGCCCAGGCUGGAGUGCAGUGGCGUGAUCUCAGCUCACUGCAACCUCCACCUCCCAGGUUCAAGCGACUCUCCUGCCUCAGCCUCCCGAGUAGUUGGGAUUACAGGUGACCGCCACCGCGCCUGGCUAAUUUUUGUAUUUUUAGUAGAGACGGGGUUUCACCAUCUUGGCCAGGCUGGUCUUGAACUCCUGACCUUGUGAUCCCCUGCCUUGGCCUCCCAAAGUGCUGGGAUUACAGGUGUGAGCCACCACACCCAGCCUCUGUAGUUCUUUUUACAACAUUUUUCAUUAUAACUUUAAAAUUUGUAAGCAACUGGAAAAGUGUUCCUCGCUCUCAUGGGGGGAUUUGGCUGGUGCUGAAGUGUUUCUGAAGUCUCAAGAAUAAAGCCAUAAAAUCUCACGCUGCCAUUUCCCUGAACAUAUACAUACAUAGAGAGAAAGAGAGACAGAGUUUUCCCAACUCUCGCGUAGGCUGAGCACACUGGCAGGAUCACAGCUCACGGCAGCCUCAACCUCCCUGGCUCAAGCGAUCCCUCCCCUCAGCAUCCUGAGUAGCUGAGACUACAGGUGAGUGCCACCACACUCAGCUAAUUUUUAAAUGUUUUGUAGACAGGGUCUCCCUAUGUUGCCCAGGCUGGUCUUGAACGCCUAGACUCAAGUGAUCCUCCUGUCUUGGCCUCCCAAAGUGCUGAGAUUACAGGUGGGAGCCACUGUGCCCAGCAGUUUCCCAGAAUAUAUUUAAAUGCAAAGUUACAUGAGGGGAAAACAUGUAUGUUUGCUCCUGUUGUUACUGGGUACGUUCUGAACGGCAGAGACUCGUGCAGGGCGGGCUGGUGAAGGCCCCUCUCCGCAAGGUGGUAGCAGGAAAAGGUCCUUGACUUGAUGAACUUGGUCUGCCUCUGAGCCACUGGAGGAAGCUGUUUUGAGCCAGGGUUUUUUUGGCCUGAAGCCAGCAUUUCCUCAGUCUCCCUUUGUGGUUCGAAGGAUAUGGACUAUUGCAAUACAUUUCUUCCUUCAAAUCCUGCCAGUUUUGUUGGCCCACAACUGAUAGGACCUCAAAAUAAGCCAUGCUGCUUUGCACACACACUAGCCUUCUCUUGUACUUUUCAUUCUGGAUGGGCUUGGCCAAAACAGGCUCAGGCCAAAGGCCUCCCAGGCUGUAUGUACUUCCACUAUCCUGAAAGUGUUUGGUGACACAAUGCCAAGGGUAAACAAGCCUGAUUUAGGCACUGCUUUAUCCAGGGGCUUCACCCGUGAAAUUAAUAAAACUUAUCUGAGUCACUGGAAACUUGGUUCCCAGAAAAUACAUUUCUGGUUUAUAAUCUUUUAUGCUCACCUGACAUUAUUAAUUAUCCUUGAUGAUGUGUUUAAACUGAGUAGCAGAAAACAGAGGCCACACUUUCUGGGAAAUUUUAAAGGAAGAAACCAUUUUUAAUGAGAUGAAAAUAUUUAAUGAAUUUAAAAAGCUAAUGACAAUUUUGAGAAAAGGUUUGGGAUGUAUAUUGCUAUGUAAUUUAAUAAACUGAUUUUAUGGAUAUAAAUA